GCAUACUGUUUUCUUGAAACUUGCUGAGGAAUUAGACUCAAGUGUUCUCACCACACACACCAGAAAGGUAUCUAGGUGAGGUGUUGGAUAUGUUGUUAGUUAGCUUGGUUGUAGUAAUCAUUUCACAACACAUAAUGGAUAUCAAAAUAUCAUGUAACCUUAAAUAUAUGUAAUUUCUAUUUGUCAGUGAUGCCUCAGUAAAGCUAGGGAGAAAAUAAAAAGGACCCUUCUGUGCAACAGCCCACAUGUCCAUUACCGAUGACUGGAUAAAGAAAACAUGGUCCACCCAUGCAGUGGAAUACUACGCAGCCAUAAAACGGAAUGAAGCCCGGAUCCAGGCUAUAACGUAGGUGAGCCUUGGAAACGUGGCGCUGAGUGAGAAGCUGGACACAAAAUAAGGCCAGGAAUGGUGGCUCACACCUGUAAUCCCAGCACUUUACGAGGCCAAGAUGGGCAGAUCACUUGAGUCCAGGAGUUUGAGGCCAGCCUAGGCAACAUGACGAAAUCCUGCCUCUACAAAAAAUACAAAAAUUAGCCAGGAGUUAAUUUAGAGGGGUCAUGUGACUAUAGUCCCAGCUACUCAGGAGGCUGAGACGGGAGGAUCACUUGAGCCUGGGAGGUGGAGGUUACAGUGAGCCGAGAUUGGGCCACGGCACUCCAGCCUGGGCAACAGAGUGAGACCCCCAUCUAACUGGUGGGGCGGGGGAGGCCACAUAGCCUGUGAUUCCAUUUGUAUGAAAUGUCUAGAAUAGGUAAAUCCAUGGAGACAGAAAGUAGACUAUAAGUUACCAGGGCUGGGCGACGAGGGGAGUGGGCGUUAUUGUUCAGUGGGUAUGGAGUUUCUAUUUGGGGUGAUAAAAAAGUUUUGGAGGCAUGAGCCACUGUGCCCAGCCGUGUGCUGAUUUCUAAGGGCCUCUCUCAAGAAGCUCGUGUUGAUAAAAAGGUAAUUUCAGGUGCUCACUUGAGAGCUGUGAAUUAAAAACAGGGAAAAGAUGGCGGGUGAGGGCAGCAGGCGAGGACUGUUUUGUUUGCAGGGGGCCAGGGUAGGUCACUCUGCUGCGGUGACCUUGCGGCUGAGCCCUGAACAAUGAGCAGCCGCAGCCAACAUGCAGGGAUCCUGCUUGGGGGCUGGAACUGGAAUGUUGAAUGUUUCAGGAACAGGAGGGAGGACAGAAUGGGGCUUGGAGAGCUUGGUGGCACCAGUUCACCCACAGCCUCUGGGCUCUAGUGAGGAAAUGAGACCCCAGCAGAGACCAGGGGGUCAGUUAAUGUUCGGAUCAACAUCAUUAUGUGGUCCCUUAGCUCUGAGUGAAGGGCGGAUUGGGAGGCGGGCAAGGAGGCCAGGACAACAUACAGGUGACAUAGGAUGGCGGCAUGGGCCUGGGUGCUGUGCUUAGAGCCAGAAGUGGGCAGGUCGCGAGAUACUUGAGAGGCAGAGCCCACAGGACUUGCUGAUGGCUUCUGUGAGGGGGAUGACAGGGAAGGUGAGGAAUCAAGGCAGAGUCUCAGCUUUGGGAUCUGAGAUUCAUUCAACAAAUAAUUCAGUGCCGCGUGCCAGGCCUAUUCUAAAAGUUGAGGAUAUGAAGACAACAAUGGUGAUGGCCUCAAGCAGUAAUCCCAGCACUUUGGGAUGUUGAGGCAGGAGGAUCUCUUGAGGCCAGAAGUUCAUGUUCAGCCUGGGCAACAUAGCAAGACCUCAUCUUUGCAAAAUAAAAUAAAUUAGCUGGACGUGAUGGCGCAUACCUGUGGUCUCAGCUACUAGGGAGGCCGAGGCGGGAGGAUCGCUUGAGCCUGGGAGGUGGAGGCUGCAGUGAGCCAUGAUUUCACCACUGCACUCCAGCCUGAGUGACAGAGCAAGACCCUAUCUCUAAAAAAAAAAAGUAAAAUUUGGGGAUGCGGCCACCAUGAGCAAAACAGUUCAAUGAUCCCUGCCCCAUGAAGAGGACAUUCUAUACACCAGGUGAAUAGUUCCAUCUGAGCAAUGGCCUGAAGGAGCCGGCCAUGUGGACAGUGGGUUGGCAGAAGCUACAGGUGGAGGAAGCGACAGGUGCAAAGGCCCUGGGGCAAGGCCUGCUGUGGUCCAGGAAUAGCAGGAGUGGCUGGAGCAGACAUGGGGUCAGGGAGCUAACUGGGCCAAUUACAAGGGUUUUGGUUUUCAGCAGGGAAAUGGUAAUGGGGGCUCUGAUGAGAAAUUCCAGGCUGGACAUAAGAGAUUUGAAAGUGCUGGCUCAAUGAUGGUACUGAGAGCCCAGGACAGCCUGAGAUGGGACAGGCUGGGAUGACAGCUGGAUGUGACAGAGCAGGGGUUCCCAUGCUGGAGGGCCCGCCUCAGAGAAUGUGUGUUUCUGGCCAGCACAGUGGCUCACGCCUGUAAUCCCAGCACUUUGGGAAGCCGAGGCAGGCGGAUCACGAGGUCAGG
Molecule: long non-coding RNA, 2419 nt
Filed under: Homo sapiens (human)
Lineage: Eukaryota; Metazoa; Chordata; Mammalia; Primates; Hominidae
Description: HSALNT0239257
Source: RNAcentral